Molecule: ribosomal RNA, 373 nt
Filed under: uncultured organism
Description: partial 16S ribosomal RNA
Rfam family: Bacterial small subunit ribosomal RNA
Source: RNAcentral
GUAGGUGGCAAGCGUUGUCCGGAAUUAUUGGGCGUAAAGCGCGCGCAGGCGGUUCUUUAAGUCUGAUGUGAAAGCCCACGGCUCAACCGUGGAGGGUCAUUGGAAACUGGAGAACUUGAGUACAGAAGAGGAAAGCGGAAUUCCACGUGUAGCGGUGAAAUGCGUAGGGAUGUGGAGGAACACCAGUGGCGAAGGCGGCUUUCUGGUCUGUAACUGACGCUGAGGCGCGAAAGCGUGGGGAGCAAACAGGGAUUAGAUACCCUGGUAGUCCACGCCGUAACCGAUGAGUGCUAAGUGUUAGGGGGUUUCCCGCCCCUUAGUGCUGCAGCUAACGCAUUAAGCACUCCGCCUGGGGAGUACGGCCGCAAGGCUG